UGUCGAGUUUCUCUUCAUUGUGCAUAAAUUUUUAAACCCUUUUACUAAAGAUUUCCGUGGAGGAAUUUUUUGCGAGUGAUCUGUUUUUUUGGGGGCUCUGCUCACAGCAGAGCU
Molecule: small nuclear RNA, 114 nt
Organism: Cyprinus carpio (common carp)
Lineage: Eukaryota; Metazoa; Chordata; Actinopteri; Cypriniformes; Cyprinidae
Product: U5 spliceosomal RNA
Exons: 1
Source: RefSeq, a predicted model, not a curated record